AGAGUUUGAUCCUGGCUCAGAACGAACGCUGGCGGCAGGCCUAAACCAUGCAAGUUGAACGGCCAUAGCAAUAUGGCAGUAGCGCAAGGGUGAGUAAUGUAUGGGAACGUAUCUUUUGGUGGGGAAUAUUCUUUGGAAACGAAGAGCAAUACCGCAUAAGCCCUACGGGGGAAAGAUUUAUCGCCGAUUGAGCGGCCCAUAUUGGAUUAGCUAGUUGGUUGGGUAAUGGCCGACCAAGGCUGUGAUCCAUAGCUGGUCUGAGAGGACGAUCAGCCACACUGGGACUGAGACACGGCCCAGACUCCUACGGGAGGCAGCAGGUAGGAAUAUUGGACAAUGGGGGCAACCCUGAUCCAAGCCAUGCCGCGUGAGUGUUAAGGCCUUCGGGUUGUAAAGCUCUUUUGUAUGGGAAAAUGAUGAUGGUACCAUAAGAAUAAGCACCGGCUAACUUCGUGCCAGCCGCAGC
Molecule: ribosomal RNA, 466 nt
Filed under: uncultured bacterium
Lineage: Bacteria
Description: bacterial SSU rRNA
Rfam family: Bacterial small subunit ribosomal RNA
Source: RNAcentral